Molecule: ribosomal RNA, 911 nt
Filed under: Aspergillus terreus
Lineage: Eukaryota; Fungi; Ascomycota; Eurotiomycetes; Eurotiales; Aspergillaceae
Also listed under: 1 other name
Description: LSU rRNA
Rfam family: Eukaryotic large subunit ribosomal RNA
Source: RNAcentral
GCAUAUCAAUAAGCGGAGGAAAAGAAACCAACCGGGAUUGCCUCAGUAACGGCGAGUGAAGCGGCAAGAGCUCAAAUUUGAAAGCUGGCUCCUUCGGGGUCCGCAUUGUAAUUUGCAGAGGAUGCUUCGGGUGCAGCCCCCGUCUAAGUGCCCUGGAACGGGCCGUCAUAGAGGGUGAGAAUCCCGUAUGGGGCGGGGUGUCUGCGUCCGUGUGAAGCUCCUUCGACGAGUCGAGUUGUUUGGGAAUGCAGCUCUAAAUGGGUGGUAAAUUUCAUCUAAAGCUAAAUACUGGCCGGAGACCGAUAGCGCACAAGUAGAGUGAUCGAAAGAUGAAAAGCACUUUGAAAAGAGAGUUAAACAGCACGUGAAAUUGUUGAAAGGGAAGCGCUUGCAACCAGACUCGCUCGCGGGGUUCAGCCGGGCUUCGGCCCGGUGUACUUCCCCGCGGGCGGGCCAGCGUCGGUUUGGGCGGCCGGUCAAAGGCCUCCGGAAUGUAGCGCCCUUCGGGGCGCCUUAUAGCCGGGGGUGCAAUGCGGCCAGCCUGGACCGAGGAACGCGCUUCGGCACGGACGCUGGCAUAAUGGUUGUAAACGACCCGUCUUGAAACACGGACCAAGGAGUCUAACAUCUACGCGAGUGUUCGGGUGUCAAACCCGUACGCGCAGUGAAAGCGAACGGAGGUGGGAGCCCCCUCGCGGGGCGCACCAUCGACCGAUCCUGAUGUCUUCGGAUGGAUUUGAGUACGAGCGUAGCUGUGGGGACCCGAAAGAUGGUGAACUAUGCCUGAAUAGGGCGAAGCCAGAGGAAACUCUGGUGGAGGCUCGCAGCGGUUCUGACGUGCAAAUCGAUCGUCAAAUUUGGGUAUAGGGGCGAAAGACUAAUCGAACCAUCUGGUAGCUGGUUCCUGCCGA